RNAcentral lists this long non-coding RNA (215 nucleotides) under Vitis vinifera (wine grape). RNAcentral describes it as "long non-coding RNA (VVIN_LNC003488)". Lineage: Eukaryota; Viridiplantae; Streptophyta; Magnoliopsida; Vitales; Vitaceae. The record is from RNAcentral.
AGAAUGGGAAAGAAUGAUACAAGGAAAGAAUGAUAUAAGGAAAUAACAACUAAUAUCCUAAUAUCUCAACUUUCCUAAUAUCUCAAUAUUCCUAGUAUCUCAAUAUUCCUAAUAUCUCAAUAUUCAUAAUAUCUCAACUUUCCUAAUAUCUAAACAUUCAUAAUAUCUCAACACUAAAUGAUAUAAGGAAAGAAUGAUAUAAGGAAAGCAUUCCU